RNAcentral lists this transfer RNA (87 nucleotides) under Coraliomargarita sp. CAG:312. RNAcentral describes it as "transfer RNA-Tyr(GTA)". It matches the Rfam family "tRNA". Rfam says of the family: Transfer RNA (tRNA) molecules are approximately 80 nucleotides in length. Their secondary structure includes four short double-helical elements and three loops (D, anti-codon, and T loops). RNAcentral also lists the same sequence under 1 other name. The record is from RNAcentral. Lineage: Bacteria; Pseudomonadati; Verrucomicrobiota; Opitutia; Puniceicoccales; Coraliomargaritaceae.
GGUAAGGUAUCCAAGAGGCUAAAGGGCGCGGACUGUAAAUCCGUUCAGCAUUGCUGUUCACUGGUUCGAAUCCAGUCCUUACCACCA